This 535-nucleotide ribosomal RNA is filed under the name uncultured bacterium. RNAcentral describes it as "bacterial SSU rRNA". It matches the Rfam family "Bacterial small subunit ribosomal RNA", at positions 776 to 1307 of the family's 1533-position model. The record is from RNAcentral.
AAAUAGAUACCCCCGGUAGUCCACGCCGUAAAUGAUGAGUGCUAAGUGUUAGAGGGUUUCCGCCCUUUAGUGCUGCAGCUAACGCAUUAAGCACUCCGCCUGGGGAGUACGACCGCAAGGUUGAAACUCAAAGGAAUUGACGGGGGCCCGCACAAGCGGUGGAGCAUGUGGUUUAAUUCGAAGCAACGCGAAGAACCUUACCAGGUCUUGACAUCCUCUGACCUCCCUAGAGAUAGGGCCUUCCCCUUCGGGGGACAGAGUGACAGGUGGUGCAUGGUUGUCGUCAGCUCGUGUCGUGAGAUGUUGGGUUAAGUCCCGCAACGAGCGCAACCCUUGACCUUAGUUGCCAGCAUUCAGUUGGGCACUCUAAGGUGACUGCCGGUGACAAACCGGAGGAAGGUGGGGAUGGACGUCAAAUCAUCAUGCCCCUUAUGACCUGGGCUACACACGUGCUACAAUGGAUGGUACAAAGGGCUGCGAGACCGCGAGGUUAAGCCAAUCCCAUAAAACCAUUCUCAGUUCGGAUUGCAGGCUG